CACCGUCAUACCCAAGUGCAGCUCGCAUAGCCGAUUCUUAUUGCUACCCACAAUACACUGCUUCUCUCAAAUGUAAUUGUGAGAACCCCCAGUGUACAAUUUAACUUCUUUUUGUUUGAAUGAACUCUUGUUAGUUUUACGCAGUAUUUUUGUGUCAUACAUGAUUUGUUGUUUGAUUUCAUGUUGAAUUAUUGUUCUUUGUUAUAGGGUCUGUAUAUUAUUUUGUGGGCGAUUAAGAUUCUCCCUGAUUUGAACUUCCCACUACUUGCCAGUAAUUGAU
Molecule: long non-coding RNA, 280 nt
Filed under: Olea europaea subsp. europaea
Lineage: Eukaryota; Viridiplantae; Streptophyta; Magnoliopsida; Lamiales; Oleaceae
Source: RNAcentral